Molecule: ribosomal RNA, 210 nt
Filed under: Vibrio alginolyticus
Lineage: Bacteria; Pseudomonadati; Pseudomonadota; Gammaproteobacteria; Vibrionales; Vibrionaceae
Description: partial 23S ribosomal RNA
Rfam family: Bacterial large subunit ribosomal RNA
Source: RNAcentral
GGUUAAGUGACUAAGCGUACACGGUGGAUGCCUUGGCAGUCAGAGGCGAUGAAGGACGUAUUAACUUGCGAUAAGCCCAGAUUAGGUAGUAAAAACCAUUUGAGUCUGGGAUUUCCGAAUGGGGAAACCCAAUACCAUAAGGUAUUACUGUUGAGUGAAUACAUAGCUCAACAGGGCGAACCGGGGGAACUGAAACAUCUAAGUACCCCG